RNAcentral lists this ribosomal RNA (580 nucleotides) under Shigella flexneri. RNAcentral's name for it is "partial 23S ribosomal RNA". It matches the Rfam family "Bacterial large subunit ribosomal RNA", at positions 1 to 611 of the family's 2925-position model. Lineage: Bacteria; Pseudomonadati; Pseudomonadota; Gammaproteobacteria; Enterobacterales; Enterobacteriaceae. The record is from RNAcentral.
GGGUUGUGAGGUUAAGCGACUAAGCGUACACGGUGGAUGCCCUGGCAGUCAGAGGCGAUGAAGGACGUGCUAAUCUGCGAUAAGCGUCGGUAAGGUGAUAUGAACCGUUAUAACCGGCGAUUUCCGAAUGGGGAAACCCAGUGUGAUUCGUCACACUAUCAUUAACUGAAUCCAUAGGUUAAUGAGGCGAACCGGGGGAACUGAAACAUCUAAGUACCCCGAGGAAAAGAAAUCAACCGAGAUUCCCCCAGUAGCGGCGAGCGAACGGGGAGCAGCCCAGAGCCUGAAUCAGUGUGUGUGUUAGUGGAAGCGUCUGGAAAGGCGUGCGAUACAGGGUGACAGCCCCGUACACAAAAAUGCACAUACUGUGAGCUCGAUGAGUAGGGCGGGACACGUGGUAUCCUGUCUGAAUAUGGGGGGACCAUCCUCCAAGGCUAAAUACUCCUGACUGACCGAUAGUGAACCAGUACCGUGAGGGAAAGGCGAAAAGAACCCCGGCGAGGGGAGUGAAAAAGAACCUGAAACCGUGUACGUACAAGCAGUGGGAGCACGCUUAGGCGUGUGACUGCGUACCUUUUGU